Rattus norvegicus (Norway rat) is the source of this 117-nucleotide small nuclear RNA. Ensembl annotates it as U4 spliceosomal RNA. NCBI's taxonomy places the organism in Eukaryota, Metazoa, Chordata, Mammalia, Rodentia, Muridae. The record is from Ensembl.
AGCUUUGCGCAGUGGCAGUAUCGUAGCCAAUGAGGUUUAUCCGAGGCGCGAUUAUUGCUAAGAAAUAAUAAAAUCUGGCAUACUGAGGCUUAUUAAUUUUCAAAAGCCACCCUAAGG